This 118-nucleotide non-coding RNA is filed under the name Chromera velia. Lineage: Eukaryota; Chromeraceae. The record is from RNAcentral.
UGCCUUUGUCUUUCUUUCCUUCUUUCUCUUUCUUUCUUUUAUUUCUGUUGUGUAUAAAGAAAAGGAGGGAGACGAAGAAACAGAUGGUCUGUCUGUCAGUCGGUCAGUCUGCCUUUCU